Molecule: long non-coding RNA, 366 nt
Organism: Mauremys reevesii (Reeves's turtle)
Lineage: Eukaryota; Metazoa; Chordata; Testudines; Geoemydidae
Exons: 3
Source: RefSeq, a predicted model, not a curated record
AGUGAAUCAAUGAAGACUCAGCCCACCACUCCUGAACGGUUGCCGACCCCUGGUGUCGACGUAGCUUAAGAAGGCGUGAGAGAGAGAGAAAGAGAGAGCGAACUCAUGCACAAGCAGGAGGAUGACUCUAGCCUGAUCACUUACCUUCUUGAGCACCACAAACUCAUUCUCUGCAGCCGUGCGCUUGUUGACCUCAUCUUCGUACCUGGGCGGGAAGAAGAUGAGACGGGAGCCUUGUUACAGCUGGUAGCCUGUUCUGAAAGACCAUUUACCAGCUGGGAACAGGCCUCCUUGGACAUCAGAAGGAGCAGCAGGAUGCUGUUGUGUAUCUUCUCCCUGUAUUGUGGCAGGCGUAUAUGACCAGCC